Molecule: ribosomal RNA, 683 nt
Filed under: uncultured marine eukaryote
Lineage: Eukaryota
Description: bacterial SSU rRNA
Rfam family: Eukaryotic small subunit ribosomal RNA
Source: RNAcentral
CAGUUAAAAAGCUCGUAGUUGGAUUUCUGCGGGGGCGGGGCGGCCGGUUGCUUAUAGCAACUCGAGCUAGCACUUCCCCUGCAUUCUGCCGCGAACCGUGCUACCAUUAGUUUGGUGGCGCCGGGGAUCGGCUCGUUUACUUUGAGAAAAAUAGAGUGUUCAAAGCAGGCCACACGCCUUGAAUAAGUUAGCAUGGAAUAAUGAUAAAGGACUUCGGUUCUAUUUUGUUGGUGUUCGGGACUGAAGUAAUGAUUGAUAGGGACAGUUGGGGCGGUCAGUAUUCCAAAGCGAGAGGUGAAAUUCUUAGACCUUCGGAAGACUAACAGCUGCGAAAGCGUUCCGCAAGGAUGUUCCCUUUGAUCAAGAACGAAAGUUGGGGGAUCGAAGACGAUCAGAUACCGUCGUAGUCUCAACUAUAAACUAUACCAGCUAGGGAUCGGCCGACGUUUACUUAUAUCGACUCGGUCGGCACCUUAUGAGAAAUCAAAGCAUCUGGGUUCCGGGGGGAGUAUGGUCGCAAGGCUGAAACUUAAAGGAAUUGACGGAAGGGCACCACCAGCCGUGGAGCCUGCGGCUUAAUUUGACUCAACGCGGGAAAACUUACCAGGUCCAGACAUAGUAAGGAUUGACAGAUUGAUAGCUCUUUCUUGAUUCUGUGGGUGGUGGUGCAUUGGCCGUCCUAG